Molecule: long non-coding RNA, 693 nt
Organism: Carlito syrichta (Philippine tarsier)
Lineage: Eukaryota; Metazoa; Chordata; Mammalia; Primates; Tarsiidae
Exons: 2
Source: RefSeq, a predicted model, not a curated record
AAUAUUAGAGUGAAGAAGGGGCCCCACAGGAAGGAAUUCUGGAAGAUAUGCCCGUGGAUCCUGACAAUGAAGCUUAUGAAAUGCCUUCUGAGGAAGGGUAUCAAGACUAUGAACCCGAAGCCUAAGAAAUAUCUUUGCUCCUAGUUUCCUGAGAUCUGCUGACAGAUGUUCCAUCCUGUAAAAGUGCUCAGUUCCAAUGUGCCCAGUCAUGACAUUUUCUCAAAGUUUUUACAGUGUAUUUUGAAGUCUUCCAUCAGCAGUGAUUGAACUAUCCAUACCUGCUCCUACUCAGCAUUUCAGUGCUUCCCUCUCACUGAAGUGAAUAUAUGGUAGCAGGAUCCUUGUGUGCUGUGGAUAUUGUGGCUUCAAAUCUAAAAUGUUAAAAUUAAAAACACCUAAGUGACUAACACUUAUUUCUAAAUCUUCACCUUUUUUGUUGCUGUUGAGAAAUUGUUAGUGAUUUACUCUCAUAUAUCAUAAGAUUUUUAGGUGUCUUUAAUGAUCCCUUCUGUCUGAGAAUAAUGGUGUAUUGUGAAAUUUGUUAAUAUAUAUAAUAGUUAAAAUGUGAGCAUGAAACUAUGCACCUAUAAAUAUUAACUAUGAAAGUUUACUGUUUUGUGAUGUGUUUUAUUAACUUGUGUUUGUAUAUAAAUGGUGAAAACUAAAAUAAAAUGUUAUCUCAUUUCAAAAAUA